UUUUUUCUGAGUGAUUGACUUGCUAUAGGCCUAAUUGCUACUAUUAAUCAGCUUUGUGAUAUUUUGUUAUUGAUUUUUAUCGUAUUCAUUCCAGUUGAUAUUUUCAAUUUCUAUCAUGGAUAUGUCGCUGGCUACCGCUGGCCUUGAUUGGGCACGCAGUGUGGACGCAGCCAUGGACCAACGCAGCCAAGCUUACCAGGCUGGGCCAGCGACUCGACCAAUAUGUGGAAGCAGGACUGAAAUUUUUAAACAGGUGCGUUUGGAAUGUGUGGUGAGUUUAUUGAAGGCAGCUGUGGCUCCACUCAGCUCAUUCAUAAUGGAGGCACUUGCUCUGAAUCACCCUUUAACGGCCGCCAUUCGCCAACAACUGCAACUGGUUCCAAGCAAAAUGGUGCUGAAAAGUAUCAAUUCAAUGAAACCUACAACACCGACCAUGAGAUAUGACGAUGUGUGAAGCGUUGUCUGAAGGCUGAUGAGGCUGGAGAACUGGAGGAUGAUGAGGAAGGGAAUGCAGACACAGGGGAAAGAGGCAAGCUGAGGCUGGAGAGGCAUUUCGAAGGAGACAAAGGCUGUAGUGCUAAAGAUGCAAGCUGGUAACUGAGACGAAUGUAAUCGAAAUCCCCCAAGAUCCAGAAUAUGGGAAGAUAACGGACAGACGAAAGUUUAUGCCAAUGAGGUAUUGUAAAUGUUGGGGUCUUUUUAUCCUUUCUUUAUUUAUAUUAUUAAAAUUUAAAAUGCUUUUGCAAAACAAAAGGGCUUAAGUAAUAAAAAUGUUGGGGACUUGUAAUCCUUUCUUAUUUAUUAAUAUUAUUACACCAUCCAUUGAUGCAUUGAGCUAAGACAAGUCGUGUUAUGCACGACUUCAGUAAUAUAUUUUAUUUCUAUAAAUAGGGCUGAAAUUCUAUUACAUUGAACCAAUAAAAAAUAAUUUUAUUAUACCAUGAAUUGAUAACAAUGAAAAACUAUUAUUUAAACUUUCGUCAAGUGAGGUUUGCAAUCUCCCUGUCUGUCCAUCAAGCAUAGUCAAUCAUUAUAAUUAAAUUAUAAAUUGAAUUUAGAAAUUUAAAUUAGUAAAAAAUUAUCAUUAUCAUCAUAAUCACAUAAAUUAAUGGAUGAAUUUAAAAUAGGAUAAAUUUAUGAGGUUAUAUAGUGUACCUGUGUAAUAAGCAGAAGUAAUUUAAUUUUGAGUAUGGAUUGAAUAAACAAUUAAAAUGAAAUGAA
RNAcentral lists this unclassified non-coding RNA (1221 nucleotides) under Nilaparvata lugens (brown planthopper). RNAcentral describes it as "uncharacterized LOC111061369, transcript variant X1". The record is from RNAcentral. Lineage: Eukaryota; Metazoa; Arthropoda; Insecta; Hemiptera; Delphacidae.